This 301-nucleotide ribosomal RNA is filed under the name uncultured bacterium. Its description in RNAcentral is "partial 16S ribosomal RNA". It matches the Rfam family "Bacterial small subunit ribosomal RNA", at positions 509 to 808 of the family's 1533-position model. The record is from RNAcentral.
CAGCAGCCACGGUAAUACGUAGGUCCCGAGCGUUGUCCGGAUUUAUCGGGCGUAAAGCGAGCGCAGGCGGUUAGAUAAGUCUGAAGUUAAAGGCUGUGGCUUAACCAUAGUACGCUUUGGAAACUGUUUAACUUGAGUGCAAGAGGGGAGAGUGGAAUUCCAUGUGUAGCGGUGAAAUGCGUAGAUAUAUGGAGGAACACCGGUGGCGAAAGCGGCUCUCUGGCUUGUAACUGACGCUGAGGCUCGAAAGCGUGGGGAGCAAACAGGAUUAGAUACCCGGGUAGUCCCUGUCUCUUAUACC